This 1471-nucleotide long non-coding RNA is filed under the name Manihot esculenta (cassava). RNAcentral's name for it is "long non-coding RNA (MESC_LNC010282)". The record is from RNAcentral. Lineage: Eukaryota; Viridiplantae; Streptophyta; Magnoliopsida; Malpighiales; Euphorbiaceae.
GAUUUUGUGGCUUCUCCAAUUACUUUUCCCCGUUGAUUUUGUUUUCAAUUCGAUUUUUGUUCCUCUAAAGAUUGAGGUUGAUCUCAAGUGUGAUGAGCAUCUUACCUACUUCGGGGGCCAGAAAAGAAGCAAGUCUUUUCUCAUAUUGUUAUUAGUUAUUAAACUCUGUGGUUUGACUGUUUGCUUCCAUUUAUGGACACUUGUAGCAUUAGAAGGAACUAGAUCCUAUUUUUUAACUGGCCAAUUGACCAUUAUUUUUUAAUUUUUCAUUCAAGAACUUUUUGGCAAUUUAAUUGAAGAAGAUAUUAAAACAGUAGAUCCUACAAUAGGUUGUAGUUUCAAUAAUUAUGGAUUACAGGUGAUAACGUUUCAUGCUUGAUUUAAUUAUUGAUUCCUUGGGUUUCUUUUAUGACUCUUCCUUCCAGCAGUUGCAUCUGGGACAUUUUUUAUGUGCUGUUAAUUUUUAUACCAGUAAAGCUUAGUAGAGGAUUUAGUUGUUUGAGCUGAUGAUGAGUAAAAUGCGUUUGCUAUGAUUGGGAGAGUUUUCUGUGAUGUUACCCCACAUCACUUAGAUGCUGCGUAGCUGAGGAAGCAAGGCUGAAAAGCAAACAAGCCAAGCUAAAACAUCUUAAUUUCUAAGUGGCUAUCUUUUUGCAAAAAGAAACCUGCAUACUUCAGGGAAGAUGUUUAAUUAGGAAAUAUCAGAUAUUGGAUCUGAAUCCGGGGCCAGAAAGCAUCUUUAUAUUCUGUUUACUUUGCUGCCAAAGCUUUUCGAUGAAUAUGUCCUCCGCCUCCUCCCAUCCUCUUCUCUUUUAACAUUUGUUUGAUGUUGCUCUUUGUUUUUAAUUUGCAGGUUAUUUUCAUAACCUAGCUCCUGCCAAGGUCUGUAUAUAUUUAAUCUCUUGUCUGCAUUUUAGCUUUUCUAUAUGCUUAUUGCUACCUCUUUUCAUGCUUAUUAGCUUUUCUAUAUGAUAUGAACCAUCUCUAUCUUUCUUUUUUUAACUUUUUAUCAUAGAAUAUAUUUUUUCCUUGGUCGUGAAAAGACUCAUGUUUAUUUAUGUGUUAACAACCUUAUUUUGUUACAGGCAUUUAUUCUGGGUGUUUCUGCCAUUCCAGUUAUUACCUCAGUUUCGAUAUGAUAUAGAGGAAUUCUUUUAUAGAGCGGUCAUUGCUUUAUGCAUGAUUUGGAGUUUGACAGAUCAUUCUCUAUGAUUUUAUCUCUAUAAUAUAUGUCUUCAUAUCUAAAUUAAUCAAAUGGAGUUUGACAGCAAAACUAGAAAAGUGGAAAGCGAAUAAUCAUAAAUUUGAUAUAUUUCCCUCACUGUGAUUUUUUCUUGCUUGAUACAAAUUUUUUAAUGGUUUCUCUUUCAUUGAGUUUAAGAUUUUCUCAAUGAAGCCCUUGAGAUGUGUAAGGGAGGGUAAGAUUCAAGGAACACAUGAUUGACCCUAGAUUUAUUGAGCUGUUAUUUUG